GAGUUUGAUCCUGGCUCAGGAUAAACGCUGGCGGCGCACAUAAGACAUGCAAGUCGAACGAACUUAACCUCUUGCUUGCAAGAGGAGCGGUUAGUGGCGGACUGGUGAGUAACACGUAAGAAAUCUGCCUAUCAGAGGGGAAUAACAGUGAGAAAUCAUUGCUAAUACCGCAUAUGCCAUAGUUAUCGCAUGAUAAUAGUGGGAAAGGAGCAAUCCGCUGAUAGAUGAGCUUGCGUCUGAUUAGCUAGUUGGUGGGGUAACGGCCUACCAAGGCGACGAUCAGUAGCCGGACUGAGAGGUUGAACGGCCACAUUGGGACUGAGAUACGGCCCAGACUCCUACGGGAGGCAGCAGUCGGGAAUAUUGCGCAAUGGAGGAAACUCUGACGCAGUGACGCCGCGUAUAGGAAGAAGGUUUUCGGAUUGUAAACUAUUGUCCACAGGGAAGAAAAAAGACUGUACCUGUGAAGAAAGCUCCGGCUAACUACGUGCCAGCAGCCGCGGUAAUACGUAGGGAGCAAGCGUUAUCCGGAUUUAUUGGGUGUAAAGGGUGCGUAGACGGGAUAACAAGUUAGUUGUGAAACCCCUCGGCUUAACUGAGGAACUGCAACUAAAACUAUUAUUCUUGAGUGCAGGAGAGGAAAGUGGAAUUCCUAGUGUAGCGGUGAAAUGC
Molecule: ribosomal RNA, 672 nt
Filed under: uncultured bacterium
Lineage: Bacteria
Description: bacterial SSU rRNA
Rfam family: Bacterial small subunit ribosomal RNA
Source: RNAcentral